Molecule: ribosomal RNA, 503 nt
Filed under: uncultured bacterium
Lineage: Bacteria
Description: partial 16S ribosomal RNA
Rfam family: Bacterial small subunit ribosomal RNA
Source: RNAcentral
GAUGAACGCUAGCGAUAGGCCUAACACAUGCAAGUCGAGGGGCAGCAUAGAGUAGCAAUACUUUGAUGGCGACCGGCGCACGGGUGAGUAACACGUAUGCAACCUACCUACAUCAGGGGAAUAACCCGGAGAAAUUCGGACUAAUACCGCAUAAUACAGGGAUGCCGCAUGGCAAUAUUUGUUAAAGAUUUAUCGGAUGUAGAUGGGCAUGCGUUCCAUUAGCUGGUUGGUAAGGUAACGGCUUACCAAGGCAACGAUGGAUAGGGGAACUGAGAGGUUUGGCCCCCACACUGGAACUGAGACACGGACCAGACUCCUACGGGAGGCAGCAGUGAGGAAUAUUGGUCAAUGGACGAGAGUCUGAACCAGCCAAAUCGCGUGAAGGAAGACUGCCCUACGGGUUGUAAACUUCUUUUGUACAGGAAUAAAAGACAUUACGUGUAAUGUAUUGCAUGUACUGUACGAAUAAGCAUCGGCUAACUCCGUGCCAGCCGCCGCCGUAA